Molecule: long non-coding RNA, 5028 nt
Organism: Myiozetetes cayanensis
Lineage: Eukaryota; Metazoa; Chordata; Aves; Passeriformes; Tyrannidae
Exons: 5
Source: RefSeq, a predicted model, not a curated record
UUCGCGUACGGGGCCGAGUCAGUGAAGGGCUGGAAGGGGCAGAGCCGGCGGGCACAACACCGGCCCGCAGCGCCCGCUCCCCGCGGGGCAGGGCUCGGGCCCGGGAAGGGCGCUGCGCGGGGCCACGGAGGAGCACGGAGGGGGCACGGCGGGGCAGGAUCUCGGAAGGCCCGGAAAGGCGCGGCCCGGCCCGGCGGUCCAAGAGCGCCGAGCGGGGCCGCCCCGGGGGUCUCUCACCGCCUCGCAGCGCGCGCUCCGGGCGCUCCUCCACAGCGACUGCACAUCGGCUCCGGGCGCCGCCAGCCAGUAAUAUGCAAAGUUACUGCACAUGUAGAACGUGUUCCCUGGAAGGUGGUGCAUGUCUGGGCUUUCUUCUUCCCUGAGGAUGAGAAAGGAGCAAACAGCUGCAGACAAUGCCUGUUCUAAGGAACCCCUUUGAUCCUUCUUUAUUCCACUUUCUCUGGAGUUUCAAUAUAUCAAAGGAGACAAAGUGUAGGAAGUUUUUCACUUCCACAUAAUGGAGCAAAUCAUCAGAAAGCAACAAGAGAAGGUUGAGGUAAAGGGAGAACAGGGAGGGAAGAAGCACUGGGGGGAACAGCAUCAAAAAAGGACUGAGCUGUAAGAACAAGCUGCACUCUGGGGUCUGAUCACUGUGACCUGAGCAAUACAGACACUCUGAGCUGCAUCUCAGUAGAAAUUCCCCCACUAGUGGGUGCAGUGGCUGCCCUGGAUUUGUGAUAAAUGAAACUAUGUGAUGGUUCUGUUCAGAGGAACAGAACUUUGACAUAUUCUCCUUUAUUCAGAACAAACCACAGCCAAACAAUAAAACUCUCCAAGCAACAGCAAGGCUUUUUGUUCCAUAGAAUUGUCACCCCAGGCCCUGCUUGUCUCCCCAGCUUGUGUAACCAGCAAGGCCUAACUCUGUUCCCUGGUUGUUCCUUUCCCACCCGUGACAGGGUGACAGAUUUGGUCUGGCUGAGGUCUGGGUACUGAACUAUUGCAAAGGAUGGAAUGUGGAGUUUGAACUGGCUUUGUGCUGAUACUUUGUGCUUGUUAUUUGGAUAUGGACAAUAUCUGAUCAGUAACUGCCAUAUUUGGCUUUUGUUGGAGUUGUGAUGUUAAAAUCCACCACACCUGAAGGCAGGAAAGGUCCCCCCAGCUGUCAGUGUUGAGCACAAUGUCUGUGCAGCCCAGCAGGUGCUCAGUACCUUGCUGAGGGUUCAGGCCCUCAUGUGGACUUGAGGUGUUCCCUCCAGCUCUGUGACUCCCCCAGCUAUUUAUUCCUGGUCCAUCCUAACGGGCUCGUGCAUUUUCUCUAAUUCCAGACCUCCUUUUUCCUGUUUCCACCCCAAAAAUGUCCCUGAAAAUGCUGUGCCCUUUUUACUUUGAAAACCUGUUUCUCCCUCUCAUCAGAAAACAUGUUGCCUCAUUUCUGAAGUCCUGUUACACAGGGACAUGAGGCAUUAUCCAAAGAAUCCAUCUCCGUUAAAAUCAUGGAUCUGCUGUGCUCUGCAGAAUUACACUCAGGGACUCCCUGGAAAACACGGGGGCAGUUCCUUGCCCUGUGCCGGGAUUGUUUAUCCCACGUUCCUUCCUCCAUGAUUAGCAAUCAGACAAAGGUUUCGGUGGAGGGUAAGCAGAACAGGAAGAAGCUGGGAGAAGGUUUUGUGGCAGGUGGCAGCAAUCACCCCCACAGGGGCACAGAGGCACUGCCAGCGGGGUUGGAAGCGCAGCGGGGCUGGCACGGGGCCGAGUGCGGGAUUGUCCAAGGAGGCAUCUGUGAAAGGCUCAGGAUCCCCAGUCCUGGCUGGCAUGGGGCUCUGAACUGGGGGCAGGGGGAGCCUCUGCCUUAGGGCUGGCACUGGGGGAUUGGCAGCCUCUCUCCUGUCUGGGCUCAGCAGCCUCCAGUCCCUGCUGGGCUCGGAGCAGCACGUCCAGCAUCUCAUCCCAGACAGAAAGGUACAAUCUGCUGUGCCACUCCUAAAAGGGACCUGACCCUUUGCAGUGCUGAAAACACCCAGAUCCCUUAAAUUAAUCCCAUUUUCAGUAACCAUGCAGGACUAAAAAUCAGUUCUCUCUUCUGUACAUCGUUCAUCAGCUCGUACUGUCUCCACUAUCUCAAACAGCUACUGGAACUUUUAAUUGCUCUGUCUGAAGCAGCUGGUUCUCUCAGGAGGCACUGUGGACAGGUAUUGCUCAUCUGAAUAGAACUGCUCUCCUUUGCAGAAGUGUUGGCUCAAAAAAGGACAUUCAGAAAUGAGUAGUUACACCCCACUUGGGACCAUCAGAUCUGUGCUUAUGUAAAGCAAGCAAGCAGAAUUUGCAUGAUAGCUCUUGAUUGCUCUUCAGAAAUCUGUAUGUUUGUUUGAUUUCAAGCAUGCUACUCUCAUUUCUUAAACAUUAUUUCUGUGAACGCUGAGUGAUUAGUAAAUACAUCAGAGCUUUGCUGGGGUACAGGGAUGUAAUGGAAGAGUGGAGAAUAAAAUAAUGCUCCUACCAUGAUGUCAGCUAAUACAGCGAGAAAGAGAUUUGCGAGGACUCCUUUUCCUGGUCUAAAUUUCACCUCCAUUUAGAGAAUUUGCAUAUUGCCACAUUAGCUAGACCAGCAAAAUCACUUAGUGUGAAAGCCACUUUCUGAAAUGGCAAAUAAAAAUAGCUCCUUUUGAUUGGUUUGUUAUCCCAAGUACAAGGGAGAUCCCAGAGGGUCCUGGAGCAUAUUAUACAAACACAGAGCUAACUUCCCAACAUCAUGCACUGCAGGGAGAUCAUCACCUUCUCCAAAGCACGUGGCAGAUGAAGAGGAGCAGAAAUACCUUGUACAGACAAAUUGGAUGUGUCAGUGUGAGUGUUUCAACUGCUGCCGAAAAUGCCGAGUGAUUUGUAAGGAUCACUUGCCUUUUAUCUUGUGGCAGUGACAGGCUGGGACUCACAAAUCACGGAAGGAACCACCAAUGCAGCCCAUUUCGGUGACUUUUUUCUUCACUAGAUAUGUGUUCCUAACACAAGAACUCCUCUCAGUCCCACUUUUUUUUUAAAAAAAAAAGAGUGAAAACAUGACAAAACAGGGCUUGAGCUGCAUGACUGUGGCUCUCUGUGGAGGAGUGGAAAAGACAAUUGCCCCAGUUACAUGCUGGGUUUGGAACUCCGUGCAGCCUAAGCCUAUUGAAAUAUAUAUUUGGGAGCGGGAGUGGAGGGGAGGGAGGAUGCUCUGGAAUGAGGCCUGGAGCUGGAAUGCUGUCCCAGGAGGAGGAGGGAGAGCCAUUAACUGCCUGCAAUCCCCCAAUUUAAAAAAAGGCCCGGAAACAUUUUAAUGCCAGAUUAUGGGACACCUUUCAGUCCUGGGUUUUAUUUUUUUUUUUUUCUUUUGUCUUUAGUUUUCCAUCUAGAUGACUGAAACUUUUCCUAUUUGUGCCCCCAGCUGUGCAAGCUGGGCUGGCUAAAGGCAUUUUUAUUUUUCUCUACUCCAGCCUGACAAAGUCCUACUUAUGCAACAGCUUCUACCUUUAAUAACAGUAAUAUAACUGCAUCAGAACUAAAAAAAAAACACCCAGAUUUCUUAGCACCGAGGCCUGAGAGAACUUGCUGCUGUGCUGCGAUCUGACAGGAGGCAAUUUAUAAGGAAUUAACUCUGACAGUCACUUCACACAGCUGAUUUUCAAAGAUCUAGGCACUAAAGAUGUGUUAAUGAGGGUACUGAGGCUUCAUAAUUAAUUAUAUUAGCAUGUCUUUGUUACUCCCUACAACAGGAGUGCCUGGUUGACAUUUCAAUGGGAGGCUGGUGGUGUUCUUUGGGAUUAUUAUCCAGGAGUGCAGUUCCACCUUAGCUCCCAGAGGGGAACCCGCAUGGAAAUGCCGCUGUGAAUUGCAAGGGCCUUUGGAUCUCAGGAAAAGCCCCUGAAGGAGACUCUGCUGGAAGCUGAAUGGAUGUCAGGAAGAUUUCUCUAGGCUGGAAUCUCUCUUCAGAUAUGGACUCUCCUCCCCCUUCAUUUCUGCCUUCCCUUCCUUCCCUCCCCCCUUCCUUCCCAACCCACGAGGCUCAAGAGCAGCAACAUCCAGCUCUUGGUGAAUGUUUAGUUGCAAUCCCUUAAAGGAGGGAACGCUGACCUGAACGAAACAGAGAACAAAGUAACCUGAAAACAGGGAAUAUUUUCACAGGCUUGAGUUUUCAGUGCAAUAAAGCCAGAGCUGCCAGAAGGAGUCCCAGAAGUGGUUUUUCGGGAUAUUUUGCCUGCCUCUUUGCCUCUGGUACCUGGGAAUGAGCACAUGACCAUCCAUCUCUUCAGGGAUUCCAAGCAGGUGCUCUGUAACACCUAACCGAGGAAAGAAACAGUGGGAGAUCUGAACUUUCACCUCCAGGAGCAAAUAUAAGAUUUCCUUUACAAAGAAGUUUUGUUAUCAGGUGCUGCCAAAACCCUCCCAGUUUUAUUCAUUAGCCUGACAAAGUCAGGGCAGGCUGUGAAGAUGUAAUUUUUGUGUUGUGAUUUGUGAGCGCUCGGUGCUCAGGCACUGCACGGGGAAGAUGCCACAGUUCUGCAGCUUGAACUGUGCAACCUGAAGGUCAAACACAAGCCAGAAUCCUGACUCUGGAAUAUGGAAUAUGAGGAAUGAGCUGUUUAUAGGCAGCACAGCUCCUUGGACAGGGCAGUUCAGGGGAAAAUGUUACUGCUCUCUUAUGUUUGAUGUAAUCAGAGUAGUUGAUAAAGGUCCUACAAGAAGAUGAGAAAAGAAGGGAGAAAAUCCAGGCUGUUAAAGCAACAGUGGCUGGACAGGGGGAGGGCAGGGAUGCAGAACUGGAGGAGAUGUAGUGAUGUUCACAUAACUCUUCUAACAGGAAGAGAACUGAGGAAGAGUUAGGACAAAAGGUGUUUUAGGAAGCUGGGAACAGCACAUCACAAAAAAAUCAGAAACUAUGUGAAAGGACACCUCUCCCUUUCCCCAAAACUGAACCCUCUGCUUUGUCUUUUCACAUGAAAACACAGGUUUGUAUUUUGUGUCUAAAAUAAAAAAAAGUGUUUAUUUUAAUGUUUU